RNAcentral lists this long non-coding RNA (617 nucleotides) under Canis lupus dingo (dingo). Its description in RNAcentral is "lncRNA (ENSCAFG00020000515.1)". Lineage: Eukaryota; Metazoa; Chordata; Mammalia; Carnivora; Canidae. The record is from RNAcentral.
AAAGGGUCUAUUCACUGUGCUAGAAAACUAUCUGCAUUAUGGUUCAAAAAGACUGAGUGCCAUAGCUAAAAGCAUCUUUGAAAUGUCAAAUGCCAUACCAGUUUACGCUCAGUUUAACGAAGGAGAAAGAAUGCUUUUGUGUGUCUGCAUGCAGCUUGUCCGACCUAUUUCUACAGCCCAAGCCGCCUGCUGCACCACAUCAGUAAUGAUAGUUCUCCGUGGGACCUUGAUACUCGCCAGGGUACCUGCCUGUCCAACUGGACCCAGCCUGAUGACAGAUGCUUGUUUGAAUGAGAAGAUGAUGGCACUAUACAUGCUGGUAAAGAAGUUUGGUACAGACGGAUGUCCUCAAAGAAGAAAACUGGAAGAUGAAAUAUUCUUAAAGACAAUGGAGGCUAAAAAAAAAAAAAAAAGACAAUGGAAGCUAAGCAAACAAGUGACACCACAGGCACACAGGACAGCCAAAGAAACAGGGACGCAGAGAACAAAACAGUCAAUGAUUUCUCCAGUGGGAGAAGAACCUUCUCAAACAGUUUGUCCACCAGGCACAUAUGGGAAGGACUGUAAACAGGUAUGUCAGUGUUCAGCUGAGAAUGAAGAGUGUCACCCAGUCACAG